This 468-nucleotide ribosomal RNA is filed under the name uncultured bacterium. Its description in RNAcentral is "partial 16S ribosomal RNA". It matches the Rfam family "Bacterial small subunit ribosomal RNA", at positions 28 to 507 of the family's 1533-position model. The record is from RNAcentral.
GACGAACGCUGGCGGCGUGCUUAACACAUGCAAGUCGAACGGAAAGGCCCUGCUUUUGUGGGGUGCUCGAGUGGCGAACGGGUGAGUAACACGUGAGUAACCUGCCCUUGACUUUGGGAUAACUUCAGGAAACUGGGGCUAAUACCGGAUAGGAGCUCCUGCUGCAUGGUGGGGGUUGGAAAGUUUCGGCGGUUGGGUAUGGACUCGCGGCUUAUCAGCUUGUUGGUGGGGUAGUGGCUUACCAAGGCUUUGACGGGUAGCCGGCCUGAGAGGGUGACCGGCCACAUUGGGACUGAGAUACGGCCCAGACUCCUACGGGAGGCAGCAGUGGGGAAUAUUGCACAAUGGGCGGAAGCGUGAUGCUGCAACGCCGCGUGCGGGAUGACGGCCUUCGGGUUGUAAACCGCUUUCGCCUGUGACGAAGCGUGAGUGACGGUAAUGGGUAAAGAAGCACCGGCUAACUACGUG